AGAGUGAACGCUGGCGGUAGGCCUAACACAUGCAAGUCGAACGGCAGCACAGUAGGAGCUUGCUCUUACGGGUGGCGAGUGGCGGACGGGUGAGGAAUACAUCGGAAUCUUACCUUUUGGUGGGGGAUAACGUAGGGAAACUUACGCUAAUACCGCAUACGCCCUUCGGGGGAAAGCCGGGGACCAGCAAUGGCCUGGCGCUGAUAGAUGAGCCGAUGUCGAUUAGCUAGUUGGUGAGGUAAUGGCUCACCGAAGGCGACGAUCCGUAGCUUGGUCUGAGAGGAUGAUCAGCCACGACUGGAACUGACGACACCGGUCAGACCUCCGUACGGGAGCGAGCAAGGUGGGAUUAGUGGAACAAGUGGGCCGAC
RNAcentral lists this ribosomal RNA (371 nucleotides) under uncultured soil bacterium. RNAcentral's name for it is "bacterial SSU rRNA". It matches the Rfam family "Bacterial small subunit ribosomal RNA", at positions 26 to 381 of the family's 1533-position model. The record is from RNAcentral.